This 254-nucleotide ribosomal RNA is filed under the name uncultured bacterium. Its description in RNAcentral is "partial small subunit ribosomal RNA". It matches the Rfam family "Bacterial small subunit ribosomal RNA", at positions 26 to 285 of the family's 1533-position model. The record is from RNAcentral.
AGGACGAACGCUGGCGGCGUGCUUAACACAUGCAAGUCGAGCGGAAAGGCCCUUCGGGGUACUCGAGCGGCGAACGGGUGAGUAACACGUGAGUAAUCUGCCCCUAGCUCUGGGAUAGCUCCGGGGAAACCGGGAUUAAUACCAGAUACGACCACUUUAGACAUCUGCUGUGGUGGAAGAAUUUCGGCUAGGGAUGAGCUCGCGGCCUAUCAGCUUGUUGGUGAGGUAACGGCUCACCAAGGCGACGACGGGUA